This 260-nucleotide ribosomal RNA is filed under the name uncultured bacterium. RNAcentral's name for it is "partial 16S ribosomal RNA". It matches the Rfam family "Bacterial small subunit ribosomal RNA", at positions 524 to 776 of the family's 1533-position model. The record is from RNAcentral.
UACGUAGGGUGCAAGCGUUAAUCGGAAUUACUGGGCGUAAAGCGUGCGCAGGCGGUUUUUGUAAGUUUUGUCCGUGAAAUCCCCGGGCUCGAACCUGGGAAUGGCGAUGAAGACUGCAAGGCUAGAGUUUGGCAGAGGGGGGUAGAAUUCCACGUGUAGCAGUGGAAAUGCGUAGAUAUGUGGAGGGAACACCGAUGGCGAAGGCAGCCCCCCUGGGUCAAAACUGACGCUCAUGCACGAAAGCGUGGGGAGCAAACAGG